UUACGGUCAAAUCACGCUGAAAACACCGGUUCUUGUUCGAUCACCGAAGUUAAGCAUCGUAGAGCCAGGUCAGUACUUAGAUGGGGACCGCUUGCGAACACCUGGUACUGUAAG
This 114-nucleotide ribosomal RNA is filed under the name Acanthosepion pharaonis. The record is from RNAcentral. Lineage: Eukaryota; Metazoa; Mollusca; Cephalopoda; Sepiida; Sepiidae.